RNAcentral lists this ribosomal RNA (2801 nucleotides) under Escherichia coli. RNAcentral describes it as "bacterial LSU rRNA". It matches the Rfam family "Bacterial large subunit ribosomal RNA". The record is from RNAcentral. Lineage: Bacteria; Pseudomonadati; Pseudomonadota; Gammaproteobacteria; Enterobacterales; Enterobacteriaceae.
GGGUUGUGAGGUUAAGCGACUAAGCGUACACGGUGGAUGCCCUGGCAGUCAGAGGCGAUGAAGGACGUGCUAAUCUGCGAUAAGCGUCGGUAAGGUGAUAUGAACCGUUAUAACCGGCGAUUUCCGAAUGGGGAAACCCAGUGUGAUUCGUCACACUAUCAUUAACUGAAUCCAUAGGUUAAUGAGGCGAACCGGGGGAACUGAAACAUCUAAGUACCCCGAGGAAAAGAAAUCAACCGAGAUUCCCCCAGUAGCGGCGAGCGAACGGGGAGCAGCCCAGAGCCUGAAUCAGUGUGUGUGUUAGUGGAAGCGUCUGGAAAGGCGCGCGAUACAGGGUGACAGCCCCGUACACAAAAAUGCACAUGCUGUGAGCUCGAUGAGUAGGGCGGGACACGUGGUAUCCUGUCUGAAUAUGGGGGGACCAUCCUCCAAGGCUAAAUACUCCUGACUGACCGAUAGUGAACCAGUACCGUGAGGGAAAGGCGAAAAGAACCCCGGCGAGGGGAGUGAAAAAGAACCUGAAACCGUGUACGUACAAGCAGUGGGAGCACGCUUAGGCGUGUGACUGCGUACCUUUUGUAUAAUGGGUCAGCGACUUAUAUUCUGUAGCAAGGUUAACCGAAUAGGGGAGCCGAAGGGAAACCGAGUCUUAACUGGGCGUUAAGUUGCAGGGUAUAGACCCGAAACCCGGUGAUCUAGCCAUGGGCAGGUUGAAGGUUGGGUAACACUAACUGGAGGACCGAACCGACUAAUGUUGAAAAAUUAGCGGAUGACUUGUGGCUGGGGGUGAAAGGCCAAUCAAACCGGGAGAUAGCUGGUUCUCCCCGAAAGCUAUUUAGGUAGCGCCUCGUGAAUUCAUCUCCGGGGGUAGAGCACUGUUUCGGCAAGGGGGUCAUCCCGACUUACCAACCCGAUGCAAACUGCGAAUACCGGAGAAUGUUAUCACGGGAGACACACGGCGGGUGCUAACGUCCGUCGUGAAGAGGGAAACAACCCAGACCGCCAGCUAAGGUCCCAAAGUCAUGGUUAAGUGGGAAACGAUGUGGGAAGGCCCAGACAGCCAGGAUGUUGGCUUAGAAGCAGCCAUCAUUUAAAGAAAGCGUAAUAGCUCACUGGUCGAGUCGGCCUGCGCGGAAGAUGUAACGGGGCUAAACCAUGCACCGAAGCUGCGGCAGCGACACUGUGUGUUGUUGGGUAGGGGAGCGUUCUGUAAGCCUGCGAAGGUGUGCUGUGAGGCAUGCUGGAGGUAUCAGAAGUGCGAAUGCUGACAUAAGUAACGAUAAAGCGGGUGAAAAGCCCGCUCGCCGGAAGACCAAGGGUUCCUGUCCAACGUUAAUCGGGGCAGGGUGAGUCGACCCCUAAGGCGAGGCCGAAAGGCGUAGUCGAUGGGAAACAGGUUAAUAUUCCUGUACUUGGUGUUACUGCGAAGGGGGGACGGAGAAGGCUAUGUUGGCCGGGCGACGGUUGUCCCGGUUUAAGCGUGUAGGCUGGUUUUCCAGGCAAAUCCGGAAAAUCAAGGCUGAGGCGUGAUGACGAGGCACUACGGUGCUGAAGCAACAAAUGCCCUGCUUCCAGGAAAAGCCUCUAAGCAUCAGGUAACAUCAAAUCGUACCCCAAACCGACACAGGUGGUCAGGUAGAGAAUACCAAGGCGCUUGAGAGAACUCGGGUGAAGGAACUAGGCAAAAUGGUGCCGUAACUUCGGGAGAAGGCACGCUGAUAUGUAGGUGAAGUCCCUCGCGGAUGGAGCUGAAAUCAGUCGAAGAUACCAGCUGGCUGCAACUGUUUAUUAAAAACACAGCACUGUGCAAACACGAAAGUGGACGUAUACGGUGUGACGCCUGCCCGGUGCCGGAAGGUUAAUUGAUGGGGUCAGCGCAAGCGAAGCUCUUGAUCGAAGCCCCGGUAAACGGCGGCCGUAACUAUAACGGUCCUAAGGUAGCGAAAUUCCUUGUCGGGUAAGUUCCGACCUGCACGAAUGGCGUAAUGAUGGCCAGGCUGUCUCCACCCGAGACUCAGUGAAAUUGAACUCGCUGUGAAGAUGCAGUGUACCCGCGGCAAGACGGAAAGACCCCGUGAACCUUUACUAUAGCUUGACACUGAACAUUGAGCCUUGAUGUGUAGGAUAGGUGGGAGGCUUUGAAGUGUGGACGCCAGUCUGCAUGGAGCCGACCUUGAAAUACCACCCUUUAAUGUUUGAUGUUCUAACGUUGACCCGUAAUCCGGGUUGCGGACAGUGUCUGGUGGGUAGUUUGACUGGGGCGGUCUCCUCCUAAAGAGUAACGGAGGAGCACGAAGGUUGGCUAAUCCUGGUCGGACAUCAGGAGGUUAGUGCAAUGGCAUAAGCCAGCUUGACUGCGAGCGUGACGGCGCGAGCAGGUGCGAAAGCAGGUCAUAGUGAUCCGGUGGUUCUGAAUGGAAGGGCCAUCGCUCAACGGAUAAAAGGUACUCCGGGGAUAACAGGCUGAUACCGCCCAAGAGUUCAUAUCGACGGCGGUGUUUGGCACCUCGAUGUCGGCUCAUCACAUCCUGGGGCUGAAGUAGGUCCCAAGGGUAUGGCUGUUCGCCAUUUAAAGUGGUACGCGAGCUGGGUUUAGAACGUCGUGAGACAGUUCGGUCCCUAUCUGCCGUGGGCGCUGGAGAAUUGAGGGGGGCUGCUCCUAGUACGAGAGGACCGGAGUGGACGCAUCACUGGUGUUCGGGUUGUCAUGCCAAUGGCACUGCCCGGUAGCUAAAUGCGGAAGAGAUAAGUGCUGAAAGCAUCUAAGCACGAAACUUGCCCCGAGAUGAGUUCUCCCUGAC